GACAAAACCCUUCCUGGGCCACGUAUGUCAAGCUGAGGAAACCACUUCUCCUUCAGGAUGCCCUCCAAUUGGGUUCUGUCCCCCAAACUUUUGGACGCUCUGGAAAGCACCUGUGGCCCCAGAGAGCAGACACUCAUAAGCCUUAAAGGAACACAAAGUCCCCUCCACCCCCAGGAGUAGUCCCCAUGUCACAGAUGGAGAAAUUGAGGUGAAGGCUCCACUGUGUGGGAGUGAAGCAGUGGCGACGGGCAGCAGCGCUUCGUGAUCCUGAUUUCUUCCACCCCAGGCAAGAAGUGCCCACCAUGGGUACCACCACCACCCCCCCGAGGACUAAAUGAGCAGCAGGGAGUGACAAACAGUCAGGUGCACCUAAGUUCCAGCCAAGCUCUACCAUCGACACUCUAUGACUUGGGCAGGACCCCAGGGAAGAUGAUUCAAGCAAUGCUGAGGAGGCUGCACUCUGCCCACCCACUCCAGCCCAAUCAUCCAAGGGAAAUGCCAAAGCUACCCCACAGAGUAGAAGGUUGCCUCCCCGCCAUUCCUGCCUCAGCUGCCCUCCCUCUGCAGGGCUCUAACCAGCUGCAGGCCACCAACCACUAGGGACUGGGAGCUGCUGCUGACCCUGCCCUCUCUGGGGAGGGGCCUCAAACAGAAUGCAAGUUGGCAAUCAGAUGUCCAGCCUAGGAGGAAAAGAACCAAGCGAAGACAGUAGGGAGUGACCUUGUGGCUCAAGGGGACAAACUGCAGCUGGGAUUAUUGGGGAAGAAAGAGGAGCCCAUUCCAGGGAAACCAGCUGUCCAGCAGCCUGGCCUCCUGGAAGCCUCCAGAGCCUGUCCUCUGGGGUGUGGUCCUGCUCUCAGCAGGAAAUAACAGAUUCCCACUUCAUGCCCUGAGGGCACCAAAGGGGCUGCAGAUUGUUAACAGCCCCCCUCCCUGUGCAAUAGUGUGUCUGUGUGAGGUACAAGUACAUGUAAGGCCAUCACCAAAACUACACAGGACAGCAGCAA
This is a long non-coding RNA of Pan troglodytes (chimpanzee), 1007 nucleotides long. RefSeq lists it as uncharacterized. The record is from RefSeq and is a predicted model, not a curated record. NCBI's taxonomy places the organism in Eukaryota, Metazoa, Chordata, Mammalia, Primates, Hominidae. The transcript has 4 exons.